AGGGUUCGAGUUCUGGCUCGAGGACGAACGCUGGCGGCGUGCCUAACACAUGCAAGUCGAACGAAGCAUAUUCUCAGAGAUUCGUCGAAGAGGGGUAUGACUUAGUGGCGGACGGGUGAGUAAUGCGUGAGCAACCUGCCCUUCGGAGGGGACAACAGUUGGAAACGACUGCUAAUACCGCAUGAUGUGUCUGGGAGGCAUCUCCCGGAUACCAAAGAUUUUAUCGCCGAAGGAUGGGCUCACGUCUGAUUAGCUGGUUGGCGGGGUAACGGCCCACCAAGGCAUCGAUCAGUAGCCGGACUGAGAGGUUGAACGGCCACAUUGGGACUGAGAUACGGCCCAGACUCCUACGGGAGGCAGCAGUGGGGAAUAUUGGGCAAUGGGCGCAAGCCCUGACCCAGCAACGCCGCGUGAAGGAAGAAGGCCUUCGGGUUGUAAACUUCUUUUAUGAGGGACGAAGGACGUGACGGUACCUCAUGAAUAAGCCACGGCUAACUACGUGCCAGCAGCUGC
Molecule: ribosomal RNA, 513 nt
Filed under: uncultured bacterium
Lineage: Bacteria
Description: bacterial SSU rRNA
Rfam family: Bacterial small subunit ribosomal RNA
Source: RNAcentral